This 161-nucleotide ribosomal RNA is filed under the name uncultured bacterium. RNAcentral's name for it is "partial 16S ribosomal RNA". It matches the Rfam family "Bacterial small subunit ribosomal RNA", at positions 355 to 507 of the family's 1533-position model. The record is from RNAcentral.
UAGGGAAUCUUCGGCAAUGGACGAAAGUCUGACCGAGCAACGCCGCGUGAGUGAAGAAGGUUUUCGGAUCGUAAAACUCUGUUGUUAGAGAAGAACGUUGUGUAGAGUGGAAAAUUACACAAGUGACGGUAUCUAACCAGAAAGGGACGGCUAACUACGUG